Homo sapiens (human) is the source of this 3878-nucleotide long non-coding RNA. RefSeq lists it as uncharacterized. The record is from RefSeq and is a predicted model, not a curated record. The transcript is spliced from 3 exons. NCBI's taxonomy places the organism in Eukaryota, Metazoa, Chordata, Mammalia, Primates, Hominidae.
AGUGAACUAAUGGAGGAACAGAAAACCAAAUACCACAUAUUUCACUUAUAUGUCUUAGCUAAACAUUGAGCACAUGUGGAAGUAAACACUGGAUGCUUGGAGUUUUUAGCUGAUGUUUAUGAAGAAUAGUGAGUACUAGAACUGUGCAGCUAAUGAAAGGAAAUGCUGUCUAAGAAGAUUACCCUUCAUAAAGGUGAGCAGACCUCAUUCAAUCAUGUGAAAGCCUUAAGAGAAAAAGGUUGAGGCCCACUGAGGAAGCAGCAACUCUGCUUCCAGACUGCUUGCAGACUCAAGACUACAACGUAAACUCUGGAAUUUUCAGCCAGCCAGCUUGCUCUGCAGAUUUCAAACUUGCCAGCCUCCACAAUUGUGUAAGCCAGUUCCUUAAAAUGUAUCUUUUAAAUUAAUUUCUUACAUGAAUCUCUCUUUCCUUUCUCUCUUGCUAUAUAUGUAUACAUAGACAUAUAUAUUUAAUACAGAUAGAAAUAUAUACAUAUCUAUGUAUAUCUACAUAAAUAUAUAUCUUUGUUGAUAUGUAGACAUUGAUCAAUAUACAUAGAUACAUAGAUGCAUGUCUUUAUAGAUGUAUAGAUAUCUAUAUGAACAUAGAUAUGCAUAUAGAACAUGUAUGAACAUAAAUAUAGCUAUCUGUUCCUAUAUAUCUAUACCCAUAGAUAUAUAGAUAUUGAUAUUUAUAUAUAUAGAGAGAGAGAUUUAUAUAUAUGUAGUUAUUUACAUAUCUAUCUGUUUAUCUGGAGAACCUUGGCUAAUACUGUAGAUAUUAUUAUCUCUACAUUUUUGAUGGAGAAACUGAAAUUAUGUAACCUUUCCAGGGUUACACAGCUGGGAAAUAGCAGUUCUCUAAAUAUUAAUAACUCUAAAAUCUGUGUUUUUGCCACUCACUGCCAUUCCUCUUAAAGUGAGGCUGAACGGAACCAUUUUCCCUGCUUCUCUCUACCCCUAAAUUCUCUUUAGAUGACCAUAUAUAAAAUAAAUACAUUCCUGAACACUGACUAUAAAGUCAAAUUCUUGGGCACAAACACUUUUUUUAUUUACUUGAAUUUAAAAAUUACAUCCUGGUCUUACUGAAUGCUGCAGUUUCUGUGGCAGCAGGAAGUCUAAACUUUGAAAUAGAAUUUUAAGGCAAAUACUACAAACAAGUAACUUAGAUAAACAAAUCAGAGAAGGUACAGAUUUUACCUCAACUGUUUAUCUUGUAUAAUUUUAAUCUAACUCUUUAUUCACAAAGCAUUUUGAUACUUAUAUUGGUUUUAUCAGCUCCAUCAAUAAAAAUAAGUCAAAUGAAGAAUUGGACUGACAGUUUCUGGACUGGCUUGAAGAGGUGAAGUCAGUUAAAAUAAUCAAACAGGUUUGUUUAUGUUGAUGAUACUUGAACGAAAUAGUGGAUAGUUUUAUUUCCUUUCAGUUUUUUUACUAUAUAUAUUGGAAAUAUAUACAGAUCACAUUUCUCUAUUUCACAUCUCUCUAAGUGUUAGUAAAGUGUUAAGCAGAAGAUUUGGGGAAGCAUGUGUUUAUUAAAUUUAUAAUAACUAGCUUGGAGUGGAGGUGGGAAAAACACAAAUUAACAUCUGGUUUAAUGACUGACUCCUCAGCAAAUGGGACAACAGUCUACAUGGUUAAUGGCCAAUGGACAUUUCAACUCAAUUCUACUUUUUUUUUGUUGUUUCCUACAAUGUAUCUGCCACGAUGCUAUGCUUUGGGAAUGUAUAAUUAAGGCAGAAGACAUUCUGGGUCAUCAAAAAACUCAGUCUUAAAAUCAAAUUCUCUACAUUUUGUAAUGUUUAAGUUGUAAAGUGCUACUGUCAAUAGUAAUUAUAAUUAUUCACUGAUUUGACCCAUAUUUUUAAUUGUAUACUAUGUAGCAGGCACUUUGUUAGAGAAUGAGAAUACUAUUAUGAACAACACAUUAUGCCUACUUUUAGAAACUGAUUGCUGUGGUUUGGAUAUGGUUUGUUUGUUCCUACCAAAACUGAUCUUGAAAUUUGGCCUCCAAUGUGGCAGUGUUGAGAAAUGGUGACUAGUGAGAGGUGUUUGGAUCAUGAGGGAUGACCCAUCAUGAAGGGCUUAGUGCCAUUCUGACAGUAGUCAAUGAGUUUUCUCUCUGGUGAGAUUGAAUUAUUUCUUAUGGUAAUGGAUUAGUUUAGUUCUCAUGGAAAUGAGUUCAUUACCUCAAAAGUGGGCUGUUAAUAAAGCCAUAAUGCCCUUUGGGUUUUGCCUCUUUGUACGUGUCUAUUUCCCCUUUGACCUUCUCUGCCACGUUAUGACCACGUAGUAUGAAAUCCCUCAUCAGAAGCCAGAGCUAUGCCCUUGAACUUCCCAUCAUGCGGAACUGUGAAGUAAAUAAACCUCUUUUCAUUAUAUAUUACUCAGCCUCAGGUAUUCUGUUACAGCAACACUAAAUUGACUAAGGCAUAAAAUUGGUACCAAGGAGUGGAUUGUUACUAUAAAGAUACCUGCAAAUGGGGAAGUGGCUUUGAACUGGGUAAAGGGCAGAAGUUGGAAGAGUUUGAAAGAGCAGGCUAGAAGGAGAUGGUAUUGCAGCAAUGGGAGCAUUAGGGUGCUUUUGGUAAGUACUCAAAAGAAGACUAAAAAAAUGAGGGAAAGUUUGCAACUUUUUAGAGAUUGGGUAAGUGGUAGUGACUAAAAUUAGACAGUAAAGGAUAUUCUGAUGAGAUUUCAGAUGAAAAUGAGUAUUUAUUUGAAAAGUAGAACAAAGGUCACUCUUGUUAUAAAGUUGCAAAGAAUUUGGCUGCAUUAUGUCUAUGCUCUACAGCUUUGUGGAAGGCCAAACCUAAGAAUAAUGACCUAGCAUGUCUGAUGGAAGAAAUUUCUAAGCAGCAAAGUGCUCAAGAAUUAGUGUGGUUACUUUUAAUAGCUUAUGAUUAGUUAAGGCAUCAAAGGAAUGACCUAAGAGCCAGAAUUUAUAAUUAAAAAUGAAGCAGAUCAUAAAAAUUUGGAAAUUUCAUAGCCUGGCCUUGUGGUAGAGAAUAAAAGGGAAUUUUAAGGAGAGGAAUCAAGACUGGCUGAGCAACGGAUUGCUAAAGAAGUUAGCAGGGCUAAAAGGGAGACAGGUGCAAAUAGUCAAAACAAUUAGAAGGCUACACCGGCAUUUGAAGAUCUUCAUGGCUGUCCUUUCCAACACAAGCCCAGAGGCCUGGAAGGGCAGAAUGGUUUUCUAGGAUGAACCUGGGGCACUACUGCCUUACAUCAACUCAGGAUGCUGCUCCCCAAAUCUCAACCCAUCUGGGUAGAUCAGUCAUCACUUUAACAGCCUCAGGUAUGGCUCAGACCACUGCUCCAGAGGGCCAAAGUAGUAAGUCUUGAUGGUUUCCAUAUGGUACUAAGUCUACAAGUGCCUAGAAUACAAGAGUCAUGGAGGCUAGGUGGCUUCCACCUAGAUUUCAGAGGAUAUAUCUGAAAGCCUGGGAGCCCAUCCAGAAACUUGCUACAGGGUGGAGCCACCGCAGGAAAUCACUACUAGGGCACUACCUAGUGGAGCCAUAGGGGCAGAGCCACCACUGGGCCCCCAGAAUAGUAGAGCCACAGGCAGUGUGCAAUACCAGCUAGGAAAAGUCACAGGCAUUCAACUCCAACUUGUGAGAGCAGCCACGUGGGCUACAUCCUGGAAACCUAUGUGGGCAGGUCUUCCGAGGGUCUUGGGAGCCCACCCCUCACACCAGUGUGCCCAAGAUGUAGGACAUCGAUGUCAAAGGAGAUUGUUCUGGAGCUUUAAGAUGUAAUAUAAUCCCAGCAGUUAGAAAGGCCAAGGCAAUAGGGUCACAUGCGCCCAGGAGUUCAAGACCUUCCUGGGCAACAUAGGGAGACCCUGUCUCUGUGAAAAGUAAAACAAAUUAGCC